RNAcentral lists this ribosomal RNA (511 nucleotides) under uncultured bacterium. RNAcentral's name for it is "partial 16S ribosomal RNA". The record is from RNAcentral.
GGAGUUAGCCGGUGCUUCUUCUGCGAGUAACGUCACAGAUGUAAGGUAUUAACUUACACCCUUUCCUCCUCGCUGAAAGUGCUUUACAACCCGAAGGCCUUCUUCACACACGCGGCAUGGCUGCAUCAGGGUUUCCCCCAUUGUGCAAUAUUCCCCACUGCUGCCUCCCGUAGGAGUCUGGGCCGUGUCUCAGUCCCAGUGUGGCUGAUCAUCCUCUCAGACCAGCUAGGGAUCGUCGCCUAGGUGAGCCUUUACCUCACCUACUAGCUAAUCCCACCUGGGCUUAUCCAUCAGCGCAAGGCCCGAAGGUCCCCUGCUUUCCCCCGUAGGGCGUAUGCGGUAUUAGCAGUCGUUUCCAACUGUUAUCCCCCACAAAUGGGCAAAUUCUCAGGCAUUACUCACCCGUCCGCCGCUCGUCAUCUUCAAAAGCAAGCUUUUGAAAUGUUACCGCUCGACUUGCAUGUGUUAGGCCUGCCGCCAGCGUUCAAUCUGAGCCAGAAUCGAACCCUGA